RNAcentral lists this long non-coding RNA (3285 nucleotides) under Sus scrofa (pig). RNAcentral describes it as "lncRNA (ENSSSCG00065064338.1)". The record is from RNAcentral. Lineage: Eukaryota; Metazoa; Chordata; Mammalia; Artiodactyla; Suidae.
AAAUUCUGGCCAAUAUUUUAAGGCAUGUAACAGGAAUAAGAGAUUGAGCUUUUUUAGAGGAAAAGAUAGAAUGUCAUCAAGACAACUGACUGACGGGAGUUCCCACUGUGGCACAGUGGAAAUGAAUCUGACUAAUAUCCAUGAGGAUGCUGGUUUGAUCCCUGGCCUCACUCAGUGAGUCAGGGAUCUGUCACUGUCAUGAGAGCUGUGGUGUAGGUUGCAGACACAGCUUGGAUCCCAUGUUGCUGUGGCUGUGGUGUAGGCUGGCAGCUGUAGUUCUGAUUCGACCCCUCACCUGGGAACUUCCAUCUGCCAUGGGUGUUGCAAGUUAAAUGUUUCUUUUCUUGGUAUUUUGAAAAGACAAAGAUUCCCCUCCCCAUGAAAAAAAAACUUCUGCAGAUAAAAACAGAGUUAUAAGUGAGAAGAACAGAUAAAUGGAAAAUGUUCAUGGAUUGAAAGAAUUAAUAUUGUUAAAAUGUCCAUAUUGCACAUAGCAAUCUACAGAAGGAAUGAUUCAAUGAAAUCCUUAUCAAAACAUCAAUGCCAUAUUUCAUAGAGAAGAAAUAAUACCAAAACUUGUAUGGAAGAACAAAUGACCCUGAAUAUCCAAAGUAAUUUUGAGAAGGAAGAAUAAAGUUGGAGGUAUCAUGCGCCCUGAUUUAAAGCUAUACUACAAAGCUACAGUGAUCAAAACAGUAUGAUACUUACAUUAAAACAGAAAUAUUAAUCAAAGAAACAGAAUAGAGAGCCCAGAAGUAAACCCAACACAUAGUCAAUUAAUCUAUUACAAAGGAGGCAAAAAUAUCCAAGGAGGAAAAGACAGUUUCUUUAUUAAGCGGUGUUAGAAAAACUGCACAGCUACAUGCAUAAAAACGAAAAUAGACAAUAUUCUCAAACCAUGUACAAAAAUAAACUCAAAAAGGGUUAAAGAUUUAAUGUAAGACCUGAAACCUAAAACUCCUAGAAGAAAUGCAUUUUUCCAAAGAAGAGAUAUAGAUGGUCAACAAACACAUAAGAUGCUCAACAUCACUAAUCAUCAAGGAAAUACAAAUCAAAACCACAAUGAGAUAUCACCUCACACCUAUCAGAAUGACUAUCAUCAAAACGACAAUAAUAAAUGUUGUUGAGGAUGUGGAGAAAAGGGAACCCUUGUACACUGUUGGUGGGCAUCUAAGUUGAUGCAGCCACUAUGGGAAACAGAAUGGAAGUUCCUUAAAAAAUUAAAAAUAGAACUACCAUAUCAUUCAGCAAUUCUACUCCUGGUUAUUUAUCUAAAGAAAGUAAAAACUUUAAAAGAUACAUGCACCCCUAUGUUCAGUGCAGUGUAUUUACAAUAGCCAAGUAUUUUCCUGCGUUUUGAAAACAAAUCUGGGACAUCAUACAAAUUCUAUUUAUUUCUUAAAUUUACAUAGAAUCUCUCUGAAGAGCUCACACACAGUUCAUACACUACAACACAGACACUUAUUCUAGUGAGGUGUACCCUUUAUCAUUUUAAGACGUUGAAAAUAUACUUAAUGAAAUUUUUUACACACCUUAAACAUUUACUAGUUUCCCAUACCAAGUCAACAAGCAUUUACUGAAUAUAUUAUAUGUACUCAGCCAUGUGUUAGGUAUUGAGGAGAGAGACUAAACACAAGCCUGACUUCCCUAAGAAAGACGGUGGAACAAUAUUUCAUUAAACAUUUGUGGUGACUAAGACAAAUUAUCCUUGGUUAUACUGUAGUGAGAAAUAUUGAUAGAAGAACUUAUUGGAGAAAGGAGACUCAUAAAUUUCAAACAAUUGGACAAUGGUUCAAAAUAAUUUACAAUCAAGUGAUAACUGGUACAGUGUAAAUUAUUGAUACUUCGUUAGUUAAAAAGGAGAAAUUAGUAAGCUUAGAAAGGGAGAAAGCCUCAUCAAGAACAGUUGAAUUUAAACUUAAAAUAUGAGCAAGAUUAAGGUAGGAAGAAAGGACAGAGGUUACAGCUGAGAAGAGCACCAGAGAAAUGCAUUGAGACAGAGAUGACUAAGAUAUAUGGAAAGUAACCUGGGUGCUCCAGGAUUUAGAGGAAUAGAUGAAAGAAUUGUAAUGAGAGUGAAAUAUGUUAUUUUUUAGCAUGUUUUAACCAACUAUUUAUUAGUGAUCUGACCUAUGUUAUUACUUUAGAGCCAUGUGGGAAUAUACCAAUGUGGCCUAGGAGCAGCCAUGAGGUCAUGGACCUGGGGUGGGAAAAAUCAGUAGGCCAUAGAAAUAAAAUUGACUGACAUAUACCUGAGGCCAAGGAAGACAUAUAUACCAUGUGCGAUAAACCAAGAAAGCAAAUAUAAGCUUCGAGAAUAGCUUCAGGAAAGAAUAAAAGAGGUUGGAAGACUCUUAUAUUUCUUUGACCAAACAAAAAUGAUUAACUGUGACCGUCAGACUCAAAGAUGGUCCCCAAAGAUCCCAGUCUCCUGGUAUUUGCAUCUUUGUGUAAUCUCCUCUCCUUGACUGUAGGCUAGCGUAGCUAUUGGCUUCUAACCAACAGAAGAAGGCAAAAGUGAUGGAAUAUCAAUUCUGCAGUUAAGGCACAGAAGACUGACUUUCAUCCUAGCAUAUUCUCUCCUUUGCUGGCCUUGAUGAAUGCUACAAAUGGUUAAGGGUAGGGAAGUUUAGCAGUGAAUAGGGGGAGGGGAGCUUUUACACGUGCGCAUAAUUGCAUGUUUAAGACUCACAAUUUAUCAUUCCCCUGAAUGAAUGAUGUAAUGACUCAGUGCUAGUCAGAGAUGAAUGGCGAGUCCAAAGGAAAUCUUCCUUUACAUACCUUUUUUUAACUUUUCACACAGCUCAAAAGCCCCCCCUUUUUUGUUGUUGUUGUUGUUUUGCUAGUAGGACUAUUUAAGUUAUGAAUUAGUCCCAGUUUUUAUAUUUUGCCUCUACAGAAUGGACUAACUAUAAUUUUUCCCCUCUUGUGGAGGUGGAAUAUAAUUCAGACAUGCUAACCUGUAUUUCCAAAAAAGAAUAGGGAUGUGGAGUUCCCGUCGUGGCACAGUGGUUAACGAAUCCGACUAGGAACCAUGAGGUUGCGGGUUCGGUCCCUGCUCUUGCUCAGUGGGUUAACGAUCCGGCGUUGCCGUGAGCGGUGGUGUAGGUUGCAGACGCGGCUCGGAUUCCCGCGUUGCUGUGGCUCUGGCGUAGGCCGGUGGCUACAGUCCGAUUCAACCCCUAGCCUGGGAACCUCCAUAUGCCGCGGGAGCGGCCCAAGAAAUAGCAACAACAACAACAACAACAACAAAAGACAAAAAAAAAAAAAAAAAAAAAAAAAAAA